UAAAUAUUGCAUCUAAAAGCUAAAGUAUUGCUUGCAGAAGACUAAAUACUGCUUUCAGAAGAUUAAAUAUUACUUCUAGUAAUCUAACACUGUUCCAGGAGACUAGAUACGGCGUCCAGAAGACUAAAUAUUGCUUCCAGCAGACUAAUACUGCUACCAAAAGACUAAAUACUGCUCUGAAAGACUAAAUACUGUAUUCAGAAGACUAAAUAUUGCAUCUAGAAGCUAAAGUAUUGCUUGCAGAAGAUAAAUAUUGCUUCCAGUAGUCUGACACUGUUCCAGGAGACUAGAUACGGCGUCCAGAAGACUAAAUAUUGCUUCUAGCAGACUAAUACUGCUACCACAAGACCAAAUACUGCUCUGAAAGACUAAAUACUGUAUCCAGAAGACUAAAUAUUGCAUCUAGAAGCUAAAGUAUUGCUUGCAGAAGAUUAAAUAUUGCUUCCAGCAGACUAACAUUGCUACAAAAGACUAGAUACGGCGUCCAAAAAACCAGAUAUUGUUCCUAGGAUACAAAUAUUGCUACCAAGAGACUGGAUACUGCUCCAGAAAACUUAAUAUUGCUUCUAGAAACCAAAGUAUUACUUCAGAAGACUAAAUGCUGCUUUUAGAAGACUAAAUAUUGCUUCUAGCAGACUAAUACUGCUACCAAAAGACCAAAUACUGCUCCCAGAAGACUAAAUAUUGUUUCUAGCAGACUAAUGUUGCUACCAAAAGAUCAAAUACUGCUUCCAGAAGACAAAAAAUUGCUUUCAGAAGAUUAAUACUGCUACUAAAAAAUUAAAUGCUGCUCUAGAAGGCUAAAUACUGCUUCCAGAAGAGUAACAUUGCGACUAAAAGAGUAGAUACUACUUCAAGAAGACUAAAUACUGCUAGUAGAAAGCAGAUAGUGACGGUAAAAAACAAGAUACUACUAAUAAUGACCAAAAUGAACUUCCUCCUUAUAGAAAAUCAGACAUUGUUAACUAAAUACUGCUUCCAGAAGAUAAAUACUACGUCUACUAGACUAAAUAUUGCUUUCAGAAGACUAAUACUGCUACUAAAAGAUUAGAUGCUGCUCUAAAAGGUCAAAUACUGUUUCCAGAAGACUAACAUUGCGACCAAAAGAGUAGAUACUGCUUCCAGAAGACUAAAUAUUGCUUCCAGAAGACCAAAUACUGCAGCCAAAAGACCAGAUACUGCUAGUAGAAAGCAGAUAGUGAUGGUAAAAAACAAGAUACUAUUAAUUAUGACCAAAAUGGACUUCCUCUUUAUAGAAAAUAAGACGUUAACUAAAUACUGCUUCUAGAAGACCAAGCAUUGCUUCCAGAAGAUAAAUACUGCGUCUACUAGGCUAAAUAUUGCUUGCAGAAGAGUAAUACUACUACCAAAAGAUUAGGUGCUGCUCUAAAAGGCUAAAUACUGUUUCCAGAAGACUAACAUUGUGACCAAAAGAGUGGAUACUGCUUCCAGAAGACUAAAUAUUGCUUUCUGAAGACCAAAUACUGCAGCCAAAAGACCAGAUACUGCUAGUAGAAAGCAGAGAGUGAUGGUAAAAAACAAGAUACUAUUAAUAAUGUCCAAAAUGAACUUCCUCUUUACAGAAAAUCAGACAUUGUUAACUAAAUACUGCUUCCACAAGAGCAAGCAAUGCUUCCAGAAGGUAAAUACUGCGUGUACUGGACUAAAUAUUGCUUUCAGAAGACUAAUACUGCUAUCAAAAGAUUAGAUGCUGCUCUAAAAUGCUAAAUACUGUUUCCAGAAGACUAUCAUUGCGACCAAAAGAGUAGAUAUUGCUUUCAGAAAACUAAAUACUGCUUCCAGAAGACCAAAUACUGCAGCUAGAAGACCAGAUACUGCUAGUAGAAAGCAAAUAGUGAUGGUAAAAAACAAGUUACUACUAAUAAUGACCAAAAUCAACUUUCUCUUUAUAGAAAAUCAGUCAUUGUUAACUAAACACUGCUUCCAGAAGACCAAGCAUUACUUCCAGAAGAUAAAUACUGCGUCUAGUAGACUAAAUAUUGCUUUCAGAAGACUAAUACUGCUAUCAAAAGAUUAGAUGCUGCUCUAAAAGGCUAAAUACUGUUUCCAGAAGACUAUCAUUGCGACCAAAAGAGUAGAUAUUGCUUUCAGAAAACUAAAUACUGCUUCCAGAAGACCAAAUACUGCAGCUAGAAGACCAGAUACUGCUAGUAGAAAGCAAAUAGUGAUGGUAAAAAACAAGUUACUACUAAUAAUGACCAAAAUCAACUUUCUCUUUAUAGAAAAUCAGUCAUUGUUAACUAAACACUGCUUCCAGAAGACCAAGCAUUACUUCCAGAAGAUAAAUACUGCGUCUAGUAGACUAAAUAUUGCUUUCAGAAGACUAAUACUGCUAUCAAAAGAUUAAAUGCUGCUCUAAAAAGCUAAAUACUGUUUCCAGAAGACUAAUAUUGCGACCAAAAGAGUAGAUACUGCUUCCAGAAGACCAAAUACUGCAGCUAAAAGACCAGAUACAGCUAGUAGAAAGCAGAUAGUGAUGGUAAAAAAUUAGAUACUACUAGUAAUGACCAAAAUGAACUUCCUCUUUAUAGAAAAUCAGACAUUGUUAACUAAACACUGCUUCCACAAGAGCAAGCAAUGCUUCCAGAAGAUAAAUACUGCGUCUACUGGACUAAAUAUUGCUUUCAGAAGAUUAAUACUAUUACCAAAAGAUUAGAUGCUGCUCUAAAAGGCUAAAUACUGUUUCCAGAAGACUAACAUUGCGACCAAAAGAGUAGAUAUUGCUUUCAGAAGACUUAAUACUGCUUCCAGAAGACCAAACACUGCAGCCAGAAGACCAAAUACUGCUAGUAGAAAGCAAAUAGUGAUGGUAAAAAACAAGAUACUAUUAGUAAUGACCAAAAUCAACUUCCUCUUUAUAGAAAAUUAGACAUAGUUAACUAAACACUGCUUCCAGAAGACCAAGCAUUGCUUCCAGAAGAUAAAUACUACGUUUACUAGACUAAAUAUUGCUUUCAGAAGACUAAUACUGCUACUAAAAGAUUAGAUGCUGCUCUAAAAGGCUAAAUACUGUUUCCAGAAGACUAACAUUGCGACCAAAAGAGUAGAUACUGCUUCCAGAAGACCAAACAUUGCUUCCAGAAGAUAAAUACUGCGUCUUGUAGACUAAAUAUUACUUUCAGAAGAAUAACAUUGCUACCAAAAGACAAGAUAUUACCAGUGAAGAUCAGAACCUGCUUAUAGAAGAUUAGACAAUUAUGACAGAAGACUAAAUACUGUUUGCAGAUGAUUAGAUACUACUCGUGAUGAUAAAAAACAAGAUACUACACCAACGAAAACCAGUAUCUGUUUAUAAGAAAUUAGACAGUGAUGGCAGAAGACUAAAUACUGUUUCCAGAUGAUUCGAUACUACUAGUGAUGGCAAAAGACAAGACACUACGUGAGGACCACAACCUCCUUAUAGAAAAUUAUACACUGAUAGCCAAUAUAAACAACAGUGAUUAAGAAGAAUAACAUUAAAAUUUCAAAAUAUUUUAAUAAACCUGCACAAUUAAAAUCAUUCAAAGCGGGCCUGUUUUUACUAUUCAACAGUAAAAAAGAGAAAUAAUUUGUUGAAAAUAAUAUAAGAUGACGCCCGUUUUUUCUAAUAGCUUUCAUCAAUUCUUGUAGAUUUAAAAUAUGCUUAAAUCAAACUUUCUCACUAUCAACUCAUUUUAAUCAGCAAAAAUUGACGUUUUGAAAUGUCAAAAAUAAGAUUUAAUUCGAGUAAUUACCGAUAGAUGGAGUGACAUAUUACAACAUAACCUAUAAUAUACAUUUAACGUAAUUUAAAAGUU
Onthophagus taurus is the source of this 3797-nucleotide non-coding RNA. Lineage: Eukaryota; Metazoa; Arthropoda; Insecta; Coleoptera; Scarabaeidae. The record is from RefSeq and is a predicted model, not a curated record.